This 21-nucleotide microRNA is filed under the name Blattella germanica (German cockroach). RNAcentral's name for it is "Bge-Mir-10-P3_3p* (star (passenger))". The record is from RNAcentral. Lineage: Eukaryota; Metazoa; Arthropoda; Insecta; Blattodea; Blattellidae.
ACAGGCUAGAAUCUCAGGUAU